This 67-nucleotide transfer RNA is filed under the name Trypanobia cryptica. Its description in RNAcentral is "tRNA-Ser". The record is from RNAcentral. Lineage: Eukaryota; Metazoa; Annelida; Polychaeta; Phyllodocida; Syllidae.
AGAGAGUGAAAGUCUAUUAUUGCCUUCUAAGCCUAAAAUAAAGGAGUGAAAUUCUCCUUACUCUCUU